Molecule: non-coding RNA, 438 nt
Filed under: Lachnospiraceae bacterium 5_1_57FAA
Lineage: Bacteria; Bacillati; Bacillota; Clostridia; Lachnospirales; Lachnospiraceae
Description: Bacterial large subunit ribosomal RNA
Rfam family: Bacterial large subunit ribosomal RNA
Source: Rfam by way of RNAcentral
CUCCCAAGAGUUCACAUCGACGGAGUGGUUUGGCACCUCGAUGUCGGCUCAUCGCAUCCUGGGGCUGAAGUAGGUCCCAAGGGUUGGGCUGUUCGCCCAUUAAAGCGGUACGCGAGCUGGGUUCAGAACGUCGUGAGACAGUUCGGUCCCCUAUCCGGCGCGGGCGUAGGAUAUUUGAGAGGAGCUGUCCUUAGUACGAGAGGACCGGGAUGGACUGGCCGCUGGUGGAUCUGUUGCGCCUCCAGGCGCAUGGCAGAGUAGCCAAGCCGGGACGGGAUAAACGCUGAAGGCAUCUAAGCGUGAAGCCCCCCUCGAGAUGAGAUAUCCCUGGCGUUAAGCCAGUAAGACCCCUUGAAGACGACGAGGUAGAUAGGAUAGAGGUGGAAGUGCAGCAAUGCAUGGAGCUGACUAUUACUAAUCGGUCGAGGGCAUGACCAG